AAAAAAUGUAUUUGAAAGUUCUUAAAAAUUAGGGGUUUUUUUUGCAUUUAGUCCCGCGGUAAAUUUUUAUUUUAAAAAUAGUCCUAUCAAAAUUUAAUUUGCAAAAAUGGCCAUGGGCCUGCCACGCAGACGCCACGUCACCGUGUUUUAUAUUUGUAUUUCUUUUUUUCCCUUUUUCAAAAAUCCGAACCCGAAUCCGAAAAUCAAAUUAAAACGCAAACUCGACGGAUUUUAAAAAUUUAUACCCAUAUACAUAUCCGACUAAAAACUCGAAAUCUGAACCUGAACCCAGCGGGUUUUAAAAAUCUAUACCGUUGGAUGAAGAUUUAAGGAAUAAAAAUUAUUAAAUAUUUUAUAUAUUGUAUAAAUAAAUAAAAAUAAAUUAUAUAUAUAUAUAUAUAAUUUAUUCGGAUUUGGAUUUGAAUAAUAUUUCGAAUAUCCAUACCCAUUGAUAUUCCUACUCCCUAUUCCUCUUUUUAUAGUUUACCGUGUUUAACUUACCUACCGCCCCCAGCUCGCAUGGCGCUGACGUGGCGCUUGCAUGGCAGGAGUAGGGCCAUUUUUGUAAAUAUAAAUUUGAUGAGAUUAUUUUGAAAAAUAAUUUUUUUCAGGGUCCAAUUGCAAAAAAACCCGAAAAAUUAGUGAUAUAGAGUUCUCACAUAGAAAAACACAAAAGUAAAAAAUAAAAAAUAAAAAAAUAUUAAAU
This 706-nucleotide long non-coding RNA is filed under the name Ananas comosus (pineapple). RNAcentral's name for it is "long non-coding RNA (ACOM_LNC029947)". Lineage: Eukaryota; Viridiplantae; Streptophyta; Magnoliopsida; Poales; Bromeliaceae. The record is from RNAcentral.